ACGCUGGCGGCGUGCCUAAUACAUGCAAGUAGAACGCUGAAGGAGGAGCUUGCUUCUCUGGAUGAGUUGCGAACGGGUGAGUAACGCGUAGGUAACCUGCCUGGUAGCGGGGGAUAACUAUUGGAAACGAUAGCUAAUACCGCAUAACAGUAGAUGUUGCAUGACAUUUGCUUAAAAGGUGCAAUUGCAUCACUACCAGAUGGACCUGCGUUGUAUUAGCUAGUUGGUGGGGUAACGGCUCACCAAGGCGACGAUACAUAGCCGACCUGAGAGGGUGAUCGGCCACACUGGGACUGAGACACGGCCCAGACUCCUACGGGAGGCAGCAGUAGGGAAUCUUCGGCAAUGGACGGAAGUCUGACCGAGCAACGCCGCGUGAGUGAAGAAGGUUUUCGGAUCGUAAAGCUCUGUUGUAAGAGAAGAACAGGUGUGAGAGUGGAAAGUUCACACUGUGACGGUAUCUUACCAGAAAGGGACGGCUAACUACGUGCCAGCAGCCGCGGUAAUACGUAGGUCCCGAGCGUUGUCCGGAUUUAUUGGGCGUAAAGCGAGCGCAGGCGGUUAGAUAAGUCUGAAGUUAGAGGCUGUGGCUUAACCAUAGUACGCUUUGGAAACUGUUUAACUUGAGUGCAAGAGGGGAGAGUGGAAUUCCAUGUGUAGCGGUGAAAUGCGUAGAUAUAUGGAGGAACACCGGUGGCGAAAGCGGCUCUCUGGCUUGUAACUGACGCUGAGGCUCGAAAGCGUGGGGAGCAAACAGGAUUAGAUACCCCUGGUAGUCCACGCCGUAAACGAUGAGUGCUAGGUGUUAGACCCUUUCCGGGGUUUAGUGCCGCAGCUAACGCAUUAAGCACUCCGCCUGGGGAGUACGACCGCAAGGUUGAAACUCAAAGGAAUUGACGG
Molecule: ribosomal RNA, 900 nt
Filed under: uncultured bacterium
Lineage: Bacteria
Description: bacterial SSU rRNA
Rfam family: Bacterial small subunit ribosomal RNA
Source: RNAcentral